GUUUUUGACCAAAUCACCCAGAAUACACCCAUUCGCAUCUGAUCUCGGAAUGCUAAUGAGGGUUUGGUCUAGUUAAGUGCCUUGAUGGGUGACCCCCAGGUUCAAAAUAGUUGAAUAUA
Molecule: ribosomal RNA, 119 nt
Filed under: Petromyzon marinus (sea lamprey)
Lineage: Eukaryota; Metazoa; Chordata; Hyperoartia; Petromyzontiformes; Petromyzontidae
Source: RNAcentral